GACGAACGCUGGCGGCGUGCUUAACACAUGCAAGUCGAACGGUAAGGCCCUUCGGGGUACACGAGUGGCGAACGGGUGAGUAACACGUGGGUGAUCUGCCCUGCACUUCGGGAUAAGCCUGGGAAACUGGGUCUAAUACCGGAUAGGACCACUGCCUGCAUGGGUGGUGGUGGAAAGCUUUUGCGGUGUGGGAUGGGCCCGCGGCCUAUCAGCUUGUUGGUGGGGUGAUGGCCUACCAAGGCGACGACGGGUAGCCGGCCUGAGAGGGUGACCGGCCACACUGGGACUGAGAUACGGCCCAGACUCAUACGGGAGGCAGCAGUGGGGAAUAUUGCACAAUGGGCGCAAGCCUGAUGCAGCGACGCCGCGUGAGGGAUGACGGCCUUCGGGUUGUAAACCUCUUUCAGCACCGACGAAGCGCAAGUGACGGUAGGUGCAGAAGAAGGACCGGCCGACUACGUGCCAGCCGCCGCAGUAA
This 478-nucleotide ribosomal RNA is filed under the name uncultured bacterium. RNAcentral's name for it is "partial 16S ribosomal RNA". It matches the Rfam family "Bacterial small subunit ribosomal RNA", at positions 28 to 523 of the family's 1533-position model. The record is from RNAcentral.